AAUGGACGCAAGUCUGAACCAGCCAUGCCGCGUGAAGGAUGAAGGUCCUCUGGAUUGUAAACUUCUUUUAUCUGGGACGAAAAAAGGGCUUUCUAGCUCACUUGACGGUACCAGAGGAAUAAGCACCGGCUAACUCCGUGCCAGCAGCCGCGGUAAUACGGAGGGUGCAAGCGUUAUCCGGAUUUACUGGGUUUAAAGGGUGCGUAGGUGGGCAGGUAAGUCAGCGGUGAAAUCUCCGAGCUUAACUCGGAAACUGCCAUUGAUACUAUCUGUCUUGAAUAUCCUGGAGGUGAGCGGAAUAUGUCAUGUAGCGGUGAAAUGCUUAGAUAUGACAUAGAACACCAAUUGCGAAGGCAGCUCACUACGGGGUCAUUGACACUGAGGCACGAAAGCGUGGGGAUCAAA
Molecule: ribosomal RNA, 405 nt
Filed under: uncultured bacterium
Lineage: Bacteria
Description: bacterial SSU rRNA
Rfam family: Bacterial small subunit ribosomal RNA
Source: RNAcentral